UACGUAGGGUGCAAGCGUUGUCCGGAAUUAUUGGGCGUAAAGAGCUCGUAGGCGGUUUGUCGCGUCUGCUGUGAAAACGCGAGGCUCAACCUCGCGCCUGCAGUGGGUACGGGCAGACUAGAGUGCGGUAGGGGAGAUUGGAAUUCCUGGUGUAGCGGUGGAAUGCGCAGAUAUCAGGAGGAACACCGGAUGGCGAAGGCAGAUCUCUGGGCCGUAACUGACGCUGAGGAGCGAAAGCGUGGGAGCGAACAGG
RNAcentral lists this ribosomal RNA (253 nucleotides) under uncultured bacterium. Its description in RNAcentral is "partial 16S ribosomal RNA". It matches the Rfam family "Bacterial small subunit ribosomal RNA", at positions 524 to 776 of the family's 1533-position model. The record is from RNAcentral.